Molecule: ribosomal RNA, 253 nt
Filed under: uncultured bacterium
Lineage: Bacteria
Description: partial 16S ribosomal RNA
Rfam family: Bacterial small subunit ribosomal RNA
Source: RNAcentral
UACGUAGGGUGCAAGCGUUGUCCGGAAUUAUUGGGCGUAAAGGGCUCGUAGGCGGUUUGUCGCGUCGGGAGUGAAAACCCAGGGCUUAACUCUGGGCUUGCUUUCGAUACGGGCAGACUAGAGGUAUGCAGGGGAGAACGGAAUUCCUGGUGUAGCGGUGAAAUGCGCAGAUAUCAGGAGGAACACCGGUGGCGAAGGCGGUUCUCUGGGCCUGUACUGACGCUGAGGAGCGAAAGCGUGGGGAGCGAACAGG